UUCCCCCUAAAACAUUGCUUUUUUCAAAUUAGUAUGUUUUGUGAAUGUAUUAUUUUCUUCUAAUUUUGUAAUCUCUAUUAUUGUUAUUAUGAGAUGAGUUUUCUGCUUUUCAUCUUAUCAUCUUUGUGAAAUAUUGUGCUUCCUAUUUUGUCAUUAUUUACAUCUGAAAAGUUUUUUUCUGUCUUGUUUUUUCAAAUAUUACUGAGCUUGCCAUGGCAGGGCAAACAUAAUUUGUGAAGUGCAAAGCCAAGGAGUGGUUUGCAAGGUAUGCUGUCUUCCUGCAGACUUCACAUGUUCCAUUAUAACAUUAAAAAUAUAAUCAAUGUUAAAAUGGUGAGUUGUAAGCUUGACACUCACUUUUUGUAUUGAUUUAAGAAUGGAAAAACUAAUUCAUGAGCUUGUACAGACCCUUUAAGCCACAUUUUUACUUGAGACAGAGCCUAUCUAAUGUUUAUCUAAGUUAUUAUUUUAUUUUUACUACAUUAAGCUUCUAAUCUGACCACAAGAACGCAAAUAUAUACAAGAAGUACUCUUUCUUUGAUAAUAAUGUUUAAAUCAGUCAUACAACCAAAUAAAAUAAAAUAAACUAUCAUUUUACAGUAAGCUGCAACAAUAGCUCUUCCACUCCUAUGAACAAAACAACAACAGCAACAAAAAGCUUUAGAUUGAUGUGAUUGAAGGUCAGACAUAAAUAGUAAUACAACAUCGGGUAUAUUGCACUCUGUUCUGGAAAAGAACAUAGAAAAAUUUGUUUGAUUAAUGUUUAAAUAAAUAUAAAUGAUUUUUUA
This is a long non-coding RNA of Melanotaenia boesemani (Boeseman's rainbowfish), 788 nucleotides long. RefSeq lists it as uncharacterized. Lineage: Eukaryota; Metazoa; Chordata; Actinopteri; Atheriniformes; Melanotaeniidae. The transcript is spliced from 2 exons. The record is from RefSeq and is a predicted model, not a curated record.